This 8048-nucleotide long non-coding RNA is filed under the name Homo sapiens (human). Its description in RNAcentral is "non-protein coding lnc-C6orf222-4:2". The record is from RNAcentral. Lineage: Eukaryota; Metazoa; Chordata; Mammalia; Primates; Hominidae.
GUUGGAGGAGUAGAUGAGGUGCUACAUGCAGGGCCCUGAGAACUGUCCUGUCGCUCAGGAAGCAAGUUUUGCAGGGUGUGGACAAUCGGGCAAGUGACUGCAUGUGACAACAGAGAGAGGGCAUGGUACACGGUGGCAGAUGAGCCCGGGACUGGAGGCAGAUCUGGGUUCCAGUUCGGGCUCUACCAGCAGCACCCAUGUGUCCUUCUGUUCUCUGGGCCUCAAUUUCCUGUUGUAAAAUUCAGAACUUGGAAGAGGUAAGUGGUUAGGUCAUUCCUGAGACAUCCCAGAUAAUCACAGCCAUCCAAACGUUGGCUCGGGAGCCCUGAGUAACCAAGACUGCAGGAAGCAACAGUUUAGUAAGGGUUCAGAAUCCUGUGAUUAGGGCUCGAGAAUGAAAUACUCUUCUAAGAGCUUCUCCCAGACCAAAAGGAGCUAAUUAGGAAAGAAUGGUGGCAUUCUCUGGGCAAACUGGAGGAGCCCCUGGGCUUGGCCUCCUUAUGCCUUCCUCCUUGACCCUCCUCUAGCCCCCUUGGACACAACACAACGUCCCCCCUCUGCUUUUUCCCCAGAUACUAUGGUAAACCUGCUCUCAGAUCUUUCUCCACACCUAGAAAAAUUCAUUCAUCGACUAUACACUUUAAUGAAUAUGCACUUACUAUGUACCAGAUAUUCUUUGGCUGCUAGGGCAGAGCAGCAGGGACAUAGCCCCUGUCCCCGUGGGGUCAACAUGCUGGUGGAGGGAGUCAGAGGUAAUAAAAUAAGCAAGUAAGACACACAGUAGAGCAGGCAGAGUUGGCGGAGAACUGGAUCUAACUGGGUUGGGGUUUUGCCAAGCAAGUACAGUCCAACUUGGAGUGUGGAGGGAAGGGUAUAGAAAAGGUAGGGACUAGAAUAACUAACCCUGGAAUUUAGGCUGGGAAAGGAGGGAGUAGGGAUUUGAAAGCGGGUGAGGUCAGUAGUCUGUGGGGCCCUGAGGGGCGAUGGCUCCAAGGCACGAGCCGGAAAGAGGUUUGACAGUGGCUUCUCUGGAGGGCUCAAGCUUGACCAGGAAACUGAGUGCCGAGCCCUGGAAGAUCACUGGGGAGAGGAGGUCAAAGAACUGGGAGGCCAGGGCACCAUCGGCGGGCUGGUAAGUGGAUGGUGAAACCACCAGGCAGGGGGCAGGAGGAGCUGGAGAGAGGACGCGAGAUGGGAGCUAAAAUCCUAAAAUCCGCAGGGAGUGCGGAAAGCAGUGACAGCAGUGAGCGCGGGGAGGCUGGUCCUGAGUCUGGGAUGGGGCGAUGGCGUUCAAGAAGACAUAUUUAAGAGUACUAUGUAAUUUUACGUGUGGGAAGAACCUUUUGUUUUUGUAAUUAGAACUACAGAAAGGGACAGAGCUGUUUAUGUCAUGAAAAGCAGGCCUGAGCAUUAGAAGACUGAGAAACACCUGGGAGGAUCUUGUUUCAACAGAGCUCAAAGCCGUGGCAAAAGGACGGAGCUCGAAUUGUGCAAUUGUGAGUGACUCGAAGCUGGGUGGGAAAGCGUCUAGUUUCUUAUGCAUAAAGGACCUUCCUGUUGUCUCUGAAAUCAUACCAAGUAGAUGCCACCAUUUCAGCAGAGGCUUGAAUUAUACUGAUAAUGACAAGUUAUCAGUAUCAUAUAACUAAUGUAAUUGAUUGAUAGGAGGAGUUAAGGACACGGGAUCUGGCCGGGCACCAUGGCUCACACCUGUAAUUCCAGCACUUUGGGAGGCCAAGGUGGGCGGAUCACUUGAGUUCAAGAGUUCAAGAUCGGCCUGGGCAACAUGGCCAGGCAACAUGUAAAAAUACAAAAUUUAGCUGGGUGUGGUGGUGGGCGCACCUGUAAUCCCAACUACUUGGGAGGCUGAGAUGGGAGAAUCAUUUGAACCUGGGAGGUGGAGGGUGCAGUGAACUGUGAUUGUACCACUGCACUCCAGCCUGGGUGACAGAGUAAGACCUCGUCAAAAAAAAAAAUCCAAAAAUGUGGGAUCUGUUUAAACCCUGGCUCUGCUCCCUGCUACUCAUUACCCUCAUCUGUGCAGCAGGGGUGAUACCAGCCCUCACCCCUCUGUUUCUGAGAAGUAGAUGAGCGUGUAUGUGCACAGAGACCUGCCUGCAGUGUUGUGAGGACUCACAAAAUGUUGGCUAGAUAUCCUAAUCUUUCUCAUGUUUGUUGGCAAACAAAAACAGGCUGAGAUGGCCCUGUGCCAUUCGUAUAUCUGUGUGUGGAAUAACAGACAGUAUAAAGCUGAAAAGCAGGUCCCUCCCUGGCUAAUUGCAUUUCAGCAGCCGCUGGGAGGCAGUGUGGCGGGGGGCGGGGAGUGAAACUGUGCGGGGAGUCAGGGAGCCUGGGUUUCCUCCUCAGCCAAUGAGGCCAAGGCCAAAUCAGGAUGUCCCUGAGCCCCUGUUUGCCUACCUGUAACGUGGGGAUGACGGUUCCUGCCAGGUACCCACAAGGCUGUUGUGAGGACUGAAUGAGGAAAUGCUCCUUGAAGAUAAAUGACAAUGCCACAGAAGAGCGGAUGCAGCUCCCCUGUGCUGAGUACUCACCUACUGUGUGCUGGGCACAGGGGCAGAGCCACCCACCCCUCCCUGCAGCAGUGCCUGGAAGGCAGGACCAGCAUCCUGAUAGCCAGAGUUGAGACAGAGUUUAAGGGCCUGCCAGGCAUAACUCCCUCGCCAGGCAUAGAAAUAAAGGAACAUCUUGAGUUCUUUCAAGGGAAGUUCCAGGCACCUAGCUAGCCCUGAGAGUAAAUGAACAACAUGAUAAGCAAGAAGGAAAUAAUAGCUUUUCAAAAAAAAUAGCCAAGGAAGUUAGAGUCACAAAAUACUUGGUUCCCUAUUGAAACUUAAGAUAACAUCUUAAUAUAUGUUCCUGAGUUGUUUUUCAGAAACCCAGGCCCCCAGCAAAUGGAAAAUGCCAUCCACUGGCACAGAGACUUCAGUUGGGAGCCGAGGACUGAACUCAGACCACCAUUCUUUGUUCAACAUUUCUUCCUGAGGGGCCUGGAGGAAGUCACACCCACAGGCCAGAGCUCAACAUUCCUUUCUGCUGACCCCAGGUUUUUAGACAAAGCUUUGCCUCCUUAACCAAUCACAAAUCAGAGGAUCUUUGAAUCCACCUAUGACCUGCGGGCCCCGCUUCGAGAUGUCCCACCCUUUUAGGUCAAACCAAUGCACAGUUUCCAUGUAUUGAUUUAUGACUUUGCCUGUAACCUCUGCCUCCCUGCCUUUAAAAACCCUUACCUGUGAGCCACCCUGGAGUUCGGGGCUUAAGCAUGAGCUGCCCGAUUCUCCUUGCUUGGCACCCUGCAGUAAAUGCCUCACUUUCUCUUGCUGCAAAUCCCAAUGUCAGUGCUUGGCUUUGCUGCACCUGGUGGGCAGACCCAAGUUUGGCAACAGAGUCUGUGGGAGAAAGUGCUGUCAGAGGAACAUGCUGGAGCAGCCAGAUUAUAGAAGAAAGAAGUAUCGUUAUGGUUAAGUCUGUGAGCAGAUUUGAGGAGAAGCUAACGAAUGGCACCAAGUGUGUUCAGCAUCUCCCCUUCUAGGGUGUCAUCUGACAGAUGUGUUAUCUGACAGAUGUGCUGCUCAUGCCUUCUGCACCUGAGGUCAGGGAUGCUCACACAGAAUGGGUUGUAACUGCAUAAGGUCGGGAGCCCCCUCUACAUCCACCAAAUAGAGGAUGAGUUGAGUAUGCAGAUAAUAAAGCAGAAUAAGGAAAGGCUUUUUAUGAACUGACAGGGAAAGACUAUCAAGAAAUACUAAGUUAAAAAAAAAAACAAAACCCUCAGUGCCAAACAGUACAUAUAGGAUGCCACCAUUUUUUUUGUCUAAAAAAUGGGGAAGAAUAUCUAUGGAAUAUACUCAUUUAUAUAUGAAUUGAAUAUUCUAAAGCUAGUUGCAAGAAACUAGUACCCUUACUUUUCUCUAGGAAGGAAAACUGGGAAAUAGUAGGAAGAGGAUUAUCACUGUAUAUCCUUUUGUACCCUUUGAUUUUGAGACCAUGUAAAUGCAAUUAUCUAAGAGAGAGAGAGAGGAAGGAGGAGGAGGAGAAAAAGGAGGUGGAAGAGGAAGGGAGAGAAAGAAACGCUGUGCAUGGGCUCUAGAAUCAGACGGACUUGUGAAUUCCAGCUCCACUGCUUCCCAGCUGUGUGACCUUGCCCAAGCUACUCAACCUCUCUGGGGCUCAAUCUGUGCAGGAAAGGGGCAUGACAAUUACAUAAUGCCUCCAACCCACCUGGACUGUUGGGAGAUUGAGACUAAUGAGUUUAAAGCUCUUAGCUAGAAAUGGUUGCUGUAGAUGUUUAGCCAGCCCUGGCUUCACACUCUCCAGACCAGCUUCCAAACUUCCUGGAGGGCACAUGCAAUUCAUCUUUUCCUUUCCCAUGCAAUUCCCCAGGCACCAGUCCAUGGCACUCCCUAUGCCUGCAGGAUACCACAUCAAAGCAGAGUUGGGGGAGCAUUUCAGGAGGUUCCUGUGAAAAACCUACAUGCACACACCCCCACGUGCAGCUGCAGACUGCUAUCUAUACACGAAGUUAUGCAUCGCAGAGUCGACUGCAAAAGGCUGGAGCCCACACAGCGUCUAUCAAUAGGGAACGGGUUAAAUCGACCACAAGAUUUCCAUAUGACGAUGGAACACUUUCCAGCCAAGAAAGGAGGAGGAAGUCCUCACUGCUCUGAUACGGAACAGUCACCAAGACAUAUUUUAAGUAAAAAAAAGGCAGCAUGCAUAACCAGGGAAAUGAAAACUAAAACCACAGUGAGUUACAAUUUCACACAGAUCCAUCUACAAAAAAAAAAAAGCUGAUAAUUGCAGGUGUUGGUGAAGAAGUGGAGUGAGGGGAAUGCUCAAACUACUAGUGGGUGUGCGAAUGGUUAUAACCACUUUUUAAAAUUUUGGCAUUAUCUACUGAAGUUGACAAUGUACUUUCCCAAUGGCCUUGCAAAUGCCCUGGAGAAGUUCUUACCCAACCCCCGCCAUUCCCCCCAACACACACCAAAAGAAACAAUUAAGAACAUUUGCACCAGCUCUGUUCCUAGAACCCCAAAACUGAGGCCAGCACUGAGGCCAAGCACAGUGGCUCAUGCCUGUAAUCCCAGCAGGCAUGAGCCACCCUUUGGGAGCCUGAGGCCGGAGGAUUAUUGAGGUUGAGAGUUCAAGACCAGCCUGGGCAACAUAGUGAGACCUUGUCUCUAUAAAAGAAGUUUUAAAAAUUAGCCAGGUGUGAUGGCUCAUGCUUGUAGUCCCAGCUAAUUGGGAGGCUGAGGUAGGAGGAUCGUUUCUUGAGCCCUGGAGGUUGAGGCUGCAGUGAGCCAUGAUUGCACCACUGCACUCCAGCCUGGGCAACAGAAUGAGACCCUGUCUCAAAAAAUAAAAUUAAAUUAGAAAACAAUAAUAAUUAUUAUUAAUAAAUAAAAUAGUCCAAUGAAAAUAAUCAUACUAUCUCCAUGCAAUGGAAUUCUAUACAAGAGUGAAAAUGAACUAACUCCGGACAUGCGUAUCAGUACACUGAACUUCAGAACUAUAAUUAUGGGUGGGACAAAAGCCAGCCAUAGAAAACUAUUCUAUUCAUAAUCCCAAAAAGGUAGUAUACCAUAUUCAAUUAUUAUAUAUAUUUAUGUCUUGUUAUAUAUAAUGUUUAUUACAUUUAUCUUAGUAUAAAAAUAUAGUAUAUUUAUCAUAAUCUAUUAUAAACAAGUAGUAGGAUUAUAAAAAGACAAAAAGGGCAGGAUAAGCGUAAAAUUCAUGAUAGUAUUUAGGGGAAGAGGAGGGUGGGGCUGGAGAGAGGCACAUGGUUUCAAAAGCCCAGCUUCUUUGUCUAAAACAGGGCGUGGGUACCCAUACUGGUCUAUUGUAUUGUGGGUGUCUUUAAAAUGUAUAUAUAUUCUAUAACUACUAUUUUUGUAUCUACUCAAUAUUUAAUUUUAAAAUUUUAAAUGAGGCCUAGAACACUAUAAAAAGUAUGCUACCAUUUGUAUAGAAAAAGUGGACACACACAUCACUCAUGUGCAUAGAUUAAAGUGUCUCUGGAAACUUACACAUGCAACUGGUGAAACUGGUUUCCUCUGGGGAGGAGAACUGGGAGGCUGGGGACAAGGAGGGGCAAUAAAUCAAUUGAAAUUAAAAAUCACAAAAUUUAAGGAGAAGGAGACAAAGAAGGGAAGGAGGAAGAGAAGGGAGGGUGGAGGGGAGAGGCCAAGUCCUGGUCCCAGGAGGGACAGGGAGCAGAAAGAGGAGGACUGGCCAGGCUCUGGCUAUCAAAACCUGUGUGUGCCACAGGCACGAGUGGAGCCAGAAGCCUGCAGUCCUGCCCAGGAAAGCCUGUGUCCUCCGCGCACAACUCAGGCUUAGACCCAGAGAAUGCUCUUUCUUGCACCUGAGGACGGGGCUGGCUUCAAACAGUUGCCCAGGUUGACCCUGGCUCUGCAGUCUUUUGUUUCCAGAGCUUUGCUUCCAAACGAGGCUCCCUUGGGUCUCUUUCCCUGGCCCUGCCUUCUUAUCUCCAACCUUCACCCCACCUGUGAUCCAAGCGAUUCCUUUGAAGUUGCUUCAGAGUCUUCUGAGCCUUCAUCCUUGAUGACUCUGAAAUGUGCGUCUGUGGCACCAAGGUCAGCCAACAGCAAGUAGGCCCUUUUCAUCUCCUUUUAAACCUUCCCCUCAAGGACUCAGUGUCCUUGCUGUAUUGCCUUAUCAAAACCUGCUCACAUAUCCUUUGUUCACACUGGGAUACCGGUCAUUUAAAGGAAAACAGGCCCACUCUAACCAGGGUCACUGCCAAGUCCCUAAGUAUCAUGCCCUUGAGAGGUAAAAGCAUAAAGCACUAAGGGUAGAAUUUUGGGCAACAGCCAGUGGACAAGGACAAAAUGGGUGCAAUAUGCAGGGGUCCCUUCUGCCCCACCGGUAACCAUAACACCUCAGGACACAGGCUGGGGUCUGUAUUCAAAAGUGGGUCCCUCAGACCGGGCACAGUGGCUCACGCCUAUAAUCCCAGCACUUUGGGAAGCCAAGGCCAGCGGAUCCCUUGAGCCCAGGAGUUUGUGACCAGCCUGAGCAACAUGGCGAAACCCCAUCUCUACAAAAAAUACCAAAAUUAGUCUAGUCGGGCAUGGUGGUGCACACACCUAUGGUCCCAGCUAUUUGGGAGGCUGAGGGGGGAGAAUCGCUUGAGCCCCAGGAGGCAGAGAUUGCAGUGAGCUGUGAUCGAGCCACUGCACUCCAGCCUGGGCAACAGAGUGAGACCCUAUCUCAAGAAAACAAAAACAGAAAGUAAAAAAGCAAUCCUCGAGCAAAAGUGGGUCCCUCAGAGCCCAAUGACAGUGAUGAGGAGGAUGAGGUGGGAAAGGUAGUGUUACUCUGAACUAAAAAGGACUGCCCAGUGUGACCCUAUCUCCCAAACAGCCCAUGCAGGGAUCUGGGUGGCACCAUAGUACAGAAGUGGGUGCCAAGAGAGGCCUGGGCUGCACAGCCAGGUGCAUACAUGCCCUGGAGUCCAGGACAGGAUCAGCAGCAAAUCCACUCCAGGGAGCUCUCCCCCCUCACCAUCCUCUCAAUCAGGGUUCCCCAGUUGAAAAGCACCUUGGCAGUUCAUAAUUCUCCCUCUAAAGCCAGAAAGUGCUGUAAAGGAUAACAGAAGCCUGGCUGCACAGUGGAGCUUAAUGGAAGUCAUUCAACAAGCAGGUCUGGAGCAAACAUCAUGGACCAGCAGUACUGUGUGUUGGCACAGAUGUGAAGCAACUAUACUCUGAUACGGCUUGGAUAUGUGUCCCCACCCAAAUCUCAUAUUGAAUUUUAAUUCCCAGUGUUAGAGGAGGGGCCGGGUGGGAGGUGACUGGAUCAUGGGGGCAGAUUUCCCCCUUACUGUUCUCACGAUAGUGAGUUCUCAGAUCUGGUUAUUUUAAAGUGUGUAGCACCUCCCACUUUGCUCCCUUCCUCCUGCUUUGGCCAUGUAAGAUGUGCCUGCUUCGCCUUCCCCUUCCGCCAUGAUUCUAUGUUUCCUGAGGCCUCCCCAGCCAUGCUUCCUAUACAGUCUGCAGAACCGUGAG